Molecule: ribosomal RNA, 458 nt
Filed under: uncultured bacterium
Lineage: Bacteria
Description: bacterial SSU rRNA
Rfam family: Bacterial small subunit ribosomal RNA
Source: RNAcentral
GUGCAGCAGGCGAGAAUCUUUCGCAAUGGGCGAAAGCCUGACGAAGCGACGCUACGUGAGCGAUGAAGGCCUUCGGGUUGUAAAGCUCUUUCGCGCAGGAACAAGAAAGAGGGGCGAAUAUCCCCUCAAUUUGAGGGUACUGCGAUAAGAAGCGCCGGCUAACUCCGUGCCAGCAGCUGCGGUAAUACGGAGAGCGCAAGCAUUAAUCGGAAUUACUGGGCGUAAAGGGCGCGUAGGCGGUCUUGUAAGUCAGAUGUGAAAUUUCGCGGCUCAACUGCGGAGCUGCAUUUGAAACUACAAGACUAGAGGUAUGGCGGAGAAAACGGAAUUCCACGUGUAGCGGUGAAAUGCGUAGAUAUGUGGAGGAACACCGGUGGCGAAAGCGGUUUUCUAGCUUUAACCUGACGCUGAGGCGCGAGAGCAAGGGGAGCAAACAGGAUUAGAUACCCCCGUAGUCC